Molecule: long non-coding RNA, 142 nt
Organism: Sphaeramia orbicularis (orbiculate cardinalfish)
Lineage: Eukaryota; Metazoa; Chordata; Actinopteri; Kurtiformes; Apogonidae
Exons: 3
Source: RefSeq, a predicted model, not a curated record
CAAACCGAACAGAAAACAGAGGUGAUUAGUGGUUUUACUGUGGCUGUUUUCUGUCUAAACAGAGCUAAGCUAACAGAGCUAUAAUGUAAACUAUCAGCCGACACAGCAGGUGAAGAUUAUAACACACAGUUUGUUUCUCAAU